UUGGAGGCCCCAGGAGUUGUAGGAGGUGAUGGGGAGGUGGGUUUCCUGGGUCACAUUUUGCGAAUGGACAGGUGGAUGGGAAUGACAGGAGUGCUUACUGAAUUGGUGAUGCAGGUGGGGCCACUGAGGACCGACUCUGGGGGCCACCGCGAUCACCAGGAGAUGUGGGGGGGUAUUGUGUCAAAUCUUUGGUAGCUGCAUGUCAGUGACACUGAGAAUGUUUACACCACGGGAAUCCACAGUUCUACAAAUCAGGAUUUUUUUUCCUUCUGGAGGGCCAGUUUAGGGGAACUUCAUGCCUCUGAAGUCGAGACCAGGAGCUGAGAGGUCACUUCAGGCCCUGGACAUACAAUUUGGUUCCCUCAAGUUUCGUCAGCUGGAAAUGCAGAACAAUGAGCUAUGAUAAGAGCCCCCCCCCACUCCCCUGCCAAGCAGAGCUGUGUCAUCAGAGAGCAGCCUGAGGGGAGGGACAGAUGCCAGGGGCACAGUCGCUGGGGGCAGAUGCCCAUCGCCCUGGGAGGUAUCCCCGAGGAAAAGCGCAGGCACCCACUGGAGGCUGCAUGGACGGCCCCAUGGGAGGACACAUCUCAGUGUAUCAGUACAUAUGUCCAUACAUCCAGACAUACACCCACAGACAAGUCUCCAUAGGUAUACAGCUGGCCGUCCAUAUUUGUGGCUUCUGCAUCUAAGCAUACAGGGAGCCAACUGUGCUGAUGGCUUCCCAGCAAGGCUGUGCUGAGCCUUCGAUAGUGGCGAACUGCUCUGAGCAUCACGGGGUCCAGCUGCUCCCAGGGAAGAGACAUGCAAAGUCCAGAAGAGGCAGAGGCAGGAGAUAAAACAGCAGGACAUAAGUAGCCCCACAGCAGGACAUAAGAUCACCGACAGGUGUGCAGACCCCCGCGUGCUCCCGGACACGUAAGCGCACGGGGAACGUGGGGCAUUACCCUCGGGAGACUCGGAUUAGAAAUAACCCGAGCACCCAGCUCCAGGGAGGUCAGCUCCUUCCGCGAGUGACUGUUUCCAUGGCUGCACACGACUCAAGCCAUCAGCCCAAACCUGGCUACUUCCUCACACCGACGGCAAGAGAAUAAACUUCCAGGGCAGGGAGUGAAAAUAUACAGAUCAAAGAGGUUUGCGGUGCAUGAACCAAACACGUCCACGUGCCACGUGUGGACCCCUGGAUCCUGGUGCAAACUGACUAGCUGUAAAAAGAUGACUCGGGGGGUCGAUAAAGACACAGCCCUGAGGCAUUUGCACGAAGGUGACAAGGAAUUAGGGGUGACGGCUGAUCCUUGCGUGAGAAGGACGGGCGUGUGGUUGUGCUGAAGCCCUUCCGCUCCCGGAGCCACGCGGACAGGCUUCACGCUGAAGUGUGGUCAUCGCUGGGACUCGCUUCGAGUUCCCGGCAGCCCACGGCCCAGCCCCCGGGCCCCCGCGGCUCCCCUCAGAUGCAGUGUUUCCCAGGACCUUUUUCGAACGGCCCGUCCAGAAUCACAUGCGCCCCGUCUCCCCUCCCGCCCUCGGAGCGCGUCACCCACACGCCGCCCACUUCCUCCUUCGACCGGCGGUCGGCCUCCUCCCUGGGAAGGCAGCUCCAUCGGGGUGGGGAGUUUUUCUCUGUCCCCCCACCCAGUGUCCCCGAGGCACCCUCCGAGCAUAAAACAGAGCCCGGUGGGUGCACAAACUGGUGUCCAGUAAGUGUCUGCUGACCAGGUGCGUCCUCUGUUUAGGGACGGGACUGACACCAGCUGCAAAGUUGCCCUGACAGAGGUCCGUCCACGGGAGAGGACGCGGGGAGAUGGCUGCUCCCCCUGGGCCUGCAUUGCACACCCUGUGGGGCAACGCCGCGGUCAGCCAGUCCCGAAACUGCUCCUGCCAUCGCUGAUUCCCUGCGGGAGCCCAAGGCCGCCGCGGCGCAGCCCACGAUGUCAGCCCGAGCCUCUCGGCCGGCAGAGGCGGGA
Vicugna pacos (alpaca) is the source of this 1961-nucleotide non-coding RNA. NCBI's taxonomy places the organism in Eukaryota, Metazoa, Chordata, Mammalia, Artiodactyla, Camelidae. The record is from RefSeq and is a predicted model, not a curated record.